AAAGGAAUAGACGGGGACCCGCACAAGCGGUGGAUGAUGUGGUUUAAUUCGAUGCAACGCGAAAAACCUUACCCACCUUUGACAUGUACGGAAGUUGCCAGAGAUGGCUUCGUGCUCGCAAGAGAACCGUAACACAGGUGCUGCAUGGCUGUCGUCAGCUCGUGUCGUGAGAUGUUGGGUUAAGUCCCGCAACGAGCGCAACCCUUGCCAUUAGUUGCUACGAAAGGGCACUCUAAUGGGACUGCCGGUGACAAACCGGAGGAAGGUGGGGAUGACGUCAAGUCCUCAUGGCCCUUAUAGGUGGGGCUACACACGUCAUACAAUGGCUGGUACAAAGGGUUGCCAACCCGCGAGGGGGAGCCAAUCCCGUAAAGCCAGUCGUAGUCCGGAUUGCAGUCUGCAACUCGACUGCAUGAAGUCGGAAUCGCUAGUAAUCGUGGAUCAGCAUGUCACGGUGAAUACGUUCCCGGGUCUUGUACACACCGCCCGU
Molecule: ribosomal RNA, 490 nt
Filed under: uncultured bacterium
Lineage: Bacteria
Description: bacterial SSU rRNA
Rfam family: Bacterial small subunit ribosomal RNA
Source: RNAcentral